This 1242-nucleotide ribosomal RNA is filed under the name metagenome. RNAcentral describes it as "bacterial LSU rRNA". It matches the Rfam family "Bacterial large subunit ribosomal RNA", at positions 1564 to 2815 of the family's 2925-position model. The record is from RNAcentral.
CGAGUACGAGAUGCUACGGCAUUGAAGCAGUCUAUGUCAUACUUCCAAGAAAAGCUUGCACUGUCAUAAACAAAUAAUGCCUGUACCAUAACCGACACAGGUGGGUAGGUAGAGUAUACUAAGGGGCGCGAGAUAACUCUCUCUAAGGAACUCGGCAAAAUACUCCGUAACUUCGGGAGAAGGAGUGCCUUCUUUUUAGAAGGUUGCAAUAACAAGAUCCAAGCAACUGUUUAUCAAAAACACAGGUCUCCGCUAAGUCGUAAGACGAUGUAUGGGGGCUGACGCCUGCCCAGUGCCAGAAGGUUAAAGAAGUCGGUUAGCAUUCGCAAAGCUGGUGACUGAAGCCCUGGUGAACGGCGGCCGUAACUAUAACGGUCCUAAGGUAGCGAAAUUCCUUGUCGGGUAAGUUCCGACCCGCACGAAAGGCGUAAUGAUUUGGAUACUGUCUCAGAGAGGGACUCGGUGAAAUAGACUUGUCUGUGAAGAUGCGGACUACCUGCACCAGGACAGAAAGACCCUAUGAAGCUUUACUGUAACUUGGAAUUGAAAUUGGACUUUAUUUGCGCAGUAUAGGUGGGAGGCGUUGAGAAUAUUCUUGCGGGAAUAUAGGAGCCAUCAGUGAGAUACCACUCUUGUAAUGUUAGAUUUCUAACUUUGAAUCAUUAUCUGGUCAAAGAACAGUUUCAGGCGGGCAGUUUGACUGGGGCGGUCGCCUCCUAAAUGGUAACGGAGGCGCACAAAGGUUUCCUCUGAACGGGUAGAAAUCGUAUCUAGAGUGUAAAGGCAUAAGGAAGCUUGACUGUGAGACCUACAAGUCGAGCAGGGACGAAAGUCGGUCUUAGUGAUCUGACGGUGCUGAGUGGAAAGGCCGUCACUCAACGGAUAAAAGUUACUCUAGGAUAACAGGCUGAUCUCCCCCAAGAGUUCACAUCGACGGGGAGGUUUGGCACCUCGAUGUCGGCUCAUCGCAUCCUGGGGCGGUAGUACGUCCCAAGGGUUGGGCUGUUCGCCCAUGAAAGCGGUACGCGAGCUGGGUUCAGAACGUCGUGAGACAGUUCGGUCCAUAUCCGGUGUAGGCGUUAGAAUAUUGAGAGGAGCCUUCUUUAGUACGAGAGGACCGAGAAGGACAUACCUAUGGUGUACCAGUUAUCGUGCCAACGGUAAACGCUGGGUAGCUACGUAUGGAGUGGAUAACCGCUGAAAGCAUCUAAGUGGGAAGCCCACCUCAAGAUAAGCAUUCUC